ACGUAUAAUACUGAAUAUACUCUAGUUUAAUACCGAAAAUAUCUGAAAUUCUUUUAUACUACAACACAUAUGGUAUAAAGAUUUUCGUUCUUCUAACAAACUAUGUCAAAUAUGUGGGUCAAUGUGUGAGUUAUAUUAUAUAUUUAUAAAAUUGUUUAAAUAUAUGUUCUCGAGUAUACCUGUGUAGUGAUUUCCGCUAUUCUAUGAUCUAUAAAAUUAUAUAUAUAUGUUAAUAAGAUACAUGUUUGAUAGUUUACCAGCCGGGUUCGUCGAAUAAUUAUUGAAUUGUUUUUUAUUUGCCAACCCCUGAAGGUAUUUCUGCUGCUUUGAAACUUCGAAUUUAUAAGAGUAUGAAAUGUUCGGUUACACACGAAAUUUGCCGUUCCUUACUUGUUAUAACAAAUGAAUUUAAUUGUGCUUCUUGAAAUUGAUAGUACUCGAUAACCAUUUGUUAUGCUAUCUCCGCCACUACGUUUUAUCCUCCCAAUGACUGCCAACUGCAUCAUCCACAAAAAUUAUGUACAACAACUUAGUGGACCAGUGUACGGCAGACUAUAUAUAUUUUAUCAAAGGCUCGCAAAACAGCUUUUUGCGAAAGUAAACUUUUGCAGUGUUCUGUAACGUCAAAUUAUACAACCUAUCAUUUUGCAAUGUUUGGCGUUGCAUACCGACGAUGUACAUAUAAAUACUGUAGACAUACUGUAUCGAUAUUUUGCAUUAGUACGUUAAGUCAGACUAUAAUAAAUGCAACGCCCAAAAUCAUAGCAGACCAUUUUAGUUAUUAUCUCGGCAGAGGUUUUGAAAAUUCAAAAAUAAAAAUAUUUUAACUUACAUUUUUAAAUAUUAUUUAGCUUAUUUUUUAAAACCGCCGACGUUUUCUCCGGAUGCAACAGUCCGGCAGACGGCAAGAUAUGUAACCGUUAUGUUGUGACGUAAUUUUAGUUGAUUUUGAACAGCUUCUCUGCUUGCAUGUAUGUUUUACCAAGUGAUAUUUUGGAGCAGGAUAUCAUAAAGUUUUAUCAGCUGCUCAAUCAUGUGUUCUAUCGGAAUAUACAUAUGUAUGUAAAUCAAAUGGGCUGCCCCUAUUAUCUGCAAGUAGCUCAAAAACUAAUCAUACUACAGUGCAAGAUUCAAAUUCAGGAAACAUAACUUAUGUAAGUGAAAAUGUAAAAGAUGGAAAUCCGAAUCAAAAUUCACUGCAGGAAGAAGCGAGUGAAGUGCCUUCAAAAUCAGGUUCAACAACUGAUAUUCCACAUUUUGAACAAUUCGUCGCAGUAAAUUUGCGUAAAGAAUGCCUUUUUGAAACAAGAACAAGUUUUCCAAACAAGAAUUUGAGUAACUGCUAUAGACAAUAAAUCAUGUAAAAUUUUUUGAAGAUAUCUCGUCAAAUAAAAAGGGGAUGUUCGAGCAAGCAAACACCUGCACCAUUGAUUUUCACGGUUUCACCGGAUGUCAUUUCAACGCUGCAUUUUUUAAUAAAGGAAAAGAAGAGACUUUAUUUUGUUGAAGAAAAACGGUGAAUUUUGAGAUCUUGGAAGUUUGAAAAGCGCUGACUUAACUCCGGAUAUGUUAAAAGGUCUGUUUAUUGUUAUUUAAGAGUUUAUUUGCAACAUGAACAACACGAAGAAAUACAAAGACGUAGAGCCUGUAGUCCUGCAUUGAGUGAUCUGUUGCAUACAUACAAGCAGAGAAGCUGAUUUCCCUCUGCGCCCUAAUU
Non-coding RNA from Bactrocera oleae (olive fruit fly), 1717 nucleotides. NCBI's taxonomy places the organism in Eukaryota, Metazoa, Arthropoda, Insecta, Diptera, Tephritidae. The record is from RefSeq and is a predicted model, not a curated record.